CUACGGGAGGCAGCAGUGGGGAAUAUUGGACAAUGGGGGGAACCCUGAUCCAGCCAUGCCGCGUGUGUGAAGAAGGCCUUUUGGUUGUAAAGCACUUUAAGCAGUGAAGAAGACUCUUCGGUUAAUACCCGGGGACGAUGACAUUAGCUGCAGAAUAAGCACCGGCUAACUCUGUGCCAGCAGCCGCGGUAAUACAGAGGGUGCAAGCGUUAAUCGGAAUUACUGGGCGUAAAGCGAGCGUAGGUGGCUUGAUAAGUCAGAUGUGAAAUCCCCGGGCUUACCUGGGAACUGCAUCUGAAACUGUUAGGCUAGAGUAGGUGAGAGGGAAGUAGAAUUUCAGGUGUAGCGGUGAAAUGCGUAGAGAUCUGAAGGAAUACCGAUGGCGAAGGCAGCUUCCCGGCAUCAUACUGACACUGAGGCUCGAAAGCGUGGGUAGCAAACAGGAUUAGAUACCCCCGUAGUC
Molecule: ribosomal RNA, 463 nt
Filed under: uncultured bacterium
Lineage: Bacteria
Description: partial 16S ribosomal RNA
Rfam family: Bacterial small subunit ribosomal RNA
Source: RNAcentral